Molecule: ribosomal RNA, 492 nt
Filed under: uncultured bacterium
Lineage: Bacteria
Description: partial 16S ribosomal RNA
Rfam family: Bacterial small subunit ribosomal RNA
Source: RNAcentral
GAUGAACGCUAGCUACAGGCUUAACACAUGCAAGUCGAGGGGAAACGACAUCGAAAGCUUGCUUUUGAUGGGCGUCGACCGGCGCACGGGUGAGUAACGCGUAUCCAACCUGCCCAUCACUUGGGAAUAACCUUGCGAAAGUAAGACUAAUACCCAAUGACAUCCCACGAAGACAUCUGAAUGGGAUUAAAGAUUUAUCGGUGAUGGAUGGGGAUGCGUCUGAUUAGCUUGUUGGCGGGGUAACGGCCCACCAAGGCAACGAUCAGUAGGGGUUCUGAGAGGAAGGUCCCCCACAUUGGAACUGAGACACGGUCCAAACUCCUACGGGGGGCAGCAGUGAGGAAUAUUGGUCAAUGGGCGAGAGCCUGAACCAGCCAAGUAGCGUGCAGGAUGACGGCCCUAUGGGUUGUAAACUGCUUUUAGAAGGGAAUAAAGUGGGUCUCGUGAGACUUUUUGCAUGUACCUUAUGAAUAAGGACCGGCUAAUUCCGUG